RNAcentral lists this ribosomal RNA (233 nucleotides) under uncultured bacterium. RNAcentral's name for it is "partial 16S ribosomal RNA". It matches the Rfam family "Bacterial small subunit ribosomal RNA", at positions 355 to 605 of the family's 1533-position model. The record is from RNAcentral.
UGGGGAAUAUUGGACAAUGGGGGCAACCCUGAUCCAGCAAUGCCGCGUGUGUGAAGAAGGUUUUCGGAUUGUAAAGCACUUUCGACGGGGACGAUGAUGACGGUACCCGUAGAAGAAGCCCCGGCUAACUUCGUGCCAGCAGCCGCGGUAAUACGAAGGGGGCUAGCGUUGCUCGGAAUGACUGGGCGUAAAGGGCGUGUAGGCGGUUUGUACAGUCAGAUGUGAAAUCCCCG